Molecule: ribosomal RNA, 253 nt
Filed under: uncultured prokaryote
Description: partial 16S ribosomal RNA
Rfam family: Bacterial small subunit ribosomal RNA
Source: RNAcentral
GACGAACCGUGCGAACGUUAUUCGGAAUCACUGGGCUUAAAGGGUGCGUAGGCGGGAUCGAAAGUCAGGGGUGAAAGCCUCCAGCCCAACUGGAGAAGCGCCUUUGAUACUGCGGUCCUCGAGGGGUGCAGGGGCAUGCGGAACUCAGGGUGGAGCGGUGAAAUGCGUAGAUAUCCUGAGGAACACCGGUGGCGAAAGCGGCGUGCUGGACACCUUCUGACGCUGAGGCACGAAAGCCAGGGGAGCGAACGGG